Molecule: long non-coding RNA, 413 nt
Filed under: Homo sapiens (human)
Lineage: Eukaryota; Metazoa; Chordata; Mammalia; Primates; Hominidae
Description: HSALNT0182194
Source: RNAcentral
GGCAAUCUGGCUGGGUCCCUAACUGACUUCCCAAACUCCGCCACCUCUCCUCUAAAGCGCCCUGUCUCUACGAGGGAGGAAAGACAGGCAGCUUCAGCAAGGGUCCCCGGGGCCCCGGGCUCCCCCAGCUAUCUAAUCGGCUUCACCCCUGCACUCCCCCAGGGACAGAGCCUCACAGGGCCUCUCUUUAGCUGGGGGAAGGAGACAGAACGCUCCUUUUGAAUACCUAAGACUUACCCACCCUCUUUUCCUCCAGCUUUCCUGCUGCUGGGUCACUGUUAGUCACUCACCAUCCAGGCCCAUUUCCUGAUAAUCCCCCAGCCCCCUGGGUGCAAGGCCCUUCUUAUUCCCUCCAACACAGACACACACACACCAAGAGCGGGCUGGUCUCUAACUCCCAAACCGUAAUCUGG